UGGUUAUCCUAUGGAGAAGUUUUUAUUUCAUUCUUAUCGGAACAAAUGCUAGAAAAAAAUGUUUUCCGUCAUUAUUCCGUGAAUAUUGCAGAUAUGCUAAAUAAUAGGGAAAUAUAUUAUACGACUUGUUAUUCGGGAAGCGGAAAUGACGAUAUUUUCCAAUUAUUUCCGGUAAAUAUAAAAUAUCAAAAUUGCAAUAACUUUCUCUCCCACGCCUCUAGAGUCUUCUUAUGGGUCUUCUAGUUUUAAAAGCUAAAAAAUAUAUUCUUAGAUGCAAGCGUGGAGAGUGAUUAUAUAGGUCUCGGGCUAAUCAGAAAUAUGAGACCCCCAUCUCAUUAAUAAAUCGUUAAAAAUAUACGAAUAAAAUCAAUAAAACAAACAAAAAUAGAUUUUUUUCAACCACUCUUCCGUCAUGUAUUUUAUAUUAAAUUCUAAAUUUUGAGAGCCUUUCUAAGUCUGGCAGCCAGAUCAAAUGGCCUUGAUAGAUCAAUUCUGUUUGGGCUUCCUUAGAUAUAAAAUUAAUUAAUGUUAACAAGCAAUAAAACAAUCAAAACUGAACUUUUAGGAAACAUCUAAUUCUUUAUGAAAGAUUAGGCCUGUAUUUCGUGUGCAUAAAUAUGUCAAAAAAAUUUAUUAAACUCUAUAAUUUGGUCCACACUUUAUAUUUCGGAAAACGAUAAAGAAUAAAAUUUAACAUAAACUUUAAUAAUAACGUAUACUUAUAAAUUACAGUUUAGUUCUAAUUUGUAGGUUGUAAAAAUAUAAGAUAGUCGUCUUAGUCUAAUUUUCGAAUGAUUUUAUAAAUUAAUCCUAUUUAGUUUUGUAGAAUGUAGAGAACACUUUAAUUGCUGUGAACUUAACGUUAACAAAUAUUUUAUUGGCUAUUAAGAGUUGCAUCGACUGCAUAAGAUAGUCCCACGUUCAAUUUAUUUAAUUUUAAAGCUACAGGCCGGUUAGAAAGUCUAUUAUUAAAAUUUGACUCUGGGAAAAGGAACAGAAAGGAUACAUUCAUUUUGUUUAAAGUUCAAGUUCCAAAAGAUUAAAUCGCUUUAGAAAUUAUUAUCUUAAAUUUUACAAGAGAAAAGGAAGGCAACAUAAUUUCAAUUUGUAAAAAAUCUGAAGGCAUCAGUGCAUAUCGAACAUUUUGCACAUAUGCAAAUGUUGCUGUAAAAAUUUAUAGUUUAGAAUAUAUUUUUCGAUAGAGUUAGUAAUUUGUUAAUAUUUUUAAUAUAUAAGUUAUUAUUAUUGUUUUGGAUAACUUACCAGUCAUUUACCUUAAGCAUCUACAGUUCUGUUUUGUAUAUCUCUUAUUUCAUAACUUGCCUCUGGGCUUGGAACUCAGUUGUUUAUACUUUAUAUAUUUUUUCUUUUUUAAGAGUUGUUUUACUAGAAUUGUCAAUACCUUAUUUAAGGCAGCUAGAAGAUAUCAGGAGCAAAGAUGCCUUGCGGAACGGAGCGUUAUUUCUUCUUUUUUUUGGACUCAUAAUCACGGGUUACCAAUAGAUAAUCGCAGGUUCGAGACGGUAAAAUUUUCUUUUCUUCUACGGAUCUAGCAGGUAUGAGGAUAAUGUCUUUGUCGUAUUUCUUCCACAUAUAAACAACAUUUACACCGUCCAAUCGUUGACCAGAAGAACUUCCUUCCUCCAAUUUACAUGGCUAUAGAAACGAAAGAAAUUUUCACAAGAUGGCCGUCAGAACUUUCUAAAAGAGUCGGUUGUACUUUUUUCUCACCUUUGUGUAUAGCCUAAUUGUCGUAUACUUCAGAGUGUCUCUAAUUGCAAUGCUAGAUCUCCAAUCUAUUGUUUCAUGCGUGGGAAACAUUCUCUUUUUUUUUGUGUCUCCAUUCAACUCUUUAAGACUGGUAUUGGCUAUAUAGAAGCCUAUAUAUAUAUAUAUAUACAGACUAUAUAUACAAAAUAUAUUUGUAAGUAUCGAACCGUAUCUAGUACGAAAAUAACUUAUUUUAAUUUUCUGAAGAUCUACUUUGUAAAGAUUCAGUUCAAAUUAAAUUAAUAUCCUCUCGAAAUUUUAUUUAAUUAUAGAGAGAAUAAUUUAAGAUCAGCUUCUAUUCAUUGGUAAAUAAACAAGAUAGUAUUAUUAUAUUUUUUUUUGUAUAUAAUUAUAAAGAUUAUAAAUGAACAAGAUGCGAUUAUAUUACUUUUAGUUUUUUCUUUUAACCACUUUUCUAAGUAGCCUAAGUAUAUUGAGAGAGAUAACAAAAUUUUAAUAAUAAAGAAAUCGUCAUUCGUAAUCUAAUACUUUAACCUUCUUUUCACAUAAAUCUAUUCCCUGGAGAUGAAGAUCCAAUCCUGUUACUAGGAUUGUCUCUUUCCUAGUAUCAAUUUAGUUUUAAGGAUGCACUCUGAUGGUCGAACGGUUCACAAAAUGCGGUAUGUACGUGACGAUGUGUGGUCUAGAUCAUCAGAUUAGAUGCGAUUCUAAGGGAAAGUAAAAAGUCUUAAAAUUCGUUUUUUUAAAUGAAAAUGUUAUCAAAGCUCUAGAAACAAACAAUGCCAUGUUAAAUUAAUUUUGUUUUUUGUUUUUUUUUUAAUUUGCACGUUAUAUACUGCUCUGAACAAAACUUAAUAAUUUAUCUUUUUAUUUUUGGAGUAGGAAGUUAACAUUGCAGUCAAUAGGGCCUAUUAUUCCAAAAUCUCUUUAAUGCUAAUAUUGAGAUUUUUUAGUAAUAUUUAGAACAAAAUAUUCUAGUAGAGUUAUAAAAUAUGACUUAGAAUUUUUAAACUUUAAUAAUUCAGUAUUAUUAAAAUUAUAUAAAUAGAGAAAACUAUCAGAUUGAUUGAACUCAUACUUCUACAGAUCUAUCACAUGGCGUAAAAAUUAAUUCUAUAAAUUAUUACUGUUUAAUGUGAAUCUAUAGUUUAUUAUAAUUAUAGAUUUAUGAAUA
This 2905-nucleotide long non-coding RNA is filed under the name Androctonus crassicauda. The record is from RNAcentral. Lineage: Eukaryota; Metazoa; Arthropoda; Arachnida; Scorpiones; Buthidae.